UACGUAGGCAGCAAGCGUUGUUCGGAAUUACUGGGCGUAAAGGGUGCGUAGGCGGCUCUAUAAGUCUGGUGUGAAAUCUCCCGGCUUAACUGGGAGGGUGCGCUAUAGACUGUGGGGCUAGAGUGUGGGAGAGGAAAGUGGAAUUCCUGGUGUAGCGGUGAAAUGCGUAGAUAUCAGGAGGAACACCGGUGGUGUAAACGGCUUUCUGGACCAUAACUGACGCUGAGGCACGAAAGCGUGGGUAGCAAACAGG
RNAcentral lists this ribosomal RNA (253 nucleotides) under uncultured bacterium. Its description in RNAcentral is "partial 16S ribosomal RNA". It matches the Rfam family "Bacterial small subunit ribosomal RNA", at positions 524 to 776 of the family's 1533-position model. The record is from RNAcentral.